CCUACGGGAGGCUGCAGUGGGGAAUAUUGGACAAUGGGGGGAACCCUGAUCCAGCCAUGCCGCGUGUGUGAAGAAGGCCCUCGGGUUGUAAAGCACUUUCAGGGAGGAAGAACGCCUGGUGGUUAAUACCCAUCAGGAAAGACAUCACUCACAGAAGAAGCACCGGCUAACUCCGUGCCAGCAGCCGCGGUAAUACGGAGGGUGCGAGCGUUAAUCGGAAUUACUGGGCGUAAAGCGCGCGUAGGUGGCUUGAUAAGCCGGUUGUGAAAGCCCCGGGCUCAACCUGGGAACGGCAUCCGGAACUGUCAAGCUAGAGUGCAGGAGAGGAAGGUAGAAUUCCGGGUGUAGCGGUGAAAUGCGUAGAGAUCGGGAGGAAUACCAGUGGCGAAGGCGGCCUUCUGGACUGACACUGACACUGAGGUGCGAAAGCGUGGGUAGCAAACAGGAUUAGAUACCCUUGUAGUC
Molecule: ribosomal RNA, 465 nt
Filed under: Vreelandella stevensii
Lineage: Bacteria; Pseudomonadati; Pseudomonadota; Gammaproteobacteria; Oceanospirillales; Halomonadaceae
Description: partial 16S ribosomal RNA
Rfam family: Bacterial small subunit ribosomal RNA
Source: RNAcentral